Molecule: transfer RNA, 83 nt
Filed under: Bacteroidota bacterium
Lineage: Bacteria; Pseudomonadati; Bacteroidota
Also listed under: 1 other name
Description: Bacteroidetes bacterium (freshwater sediment metagenome) tRNA-Leu
Rfam family: tRNA
About the family: Transfer RNA (tRNA) molecules are approximately 80 nucleotides in length.
Source: RNAcentral
GCCCAGGUGGUGAAAUUGGUAGACACGCCAUCUUGAGGGGGUGGUUCCGUAACGGUGUAGGGGUUCGAGUCCCCUCCUGGGCA